This 454-nucleotide ribosomal RNA is filed under the name uncultured bacterium. Its description in RNAcentral is "bacterial SSU rRNA". It matches the Rfam family "Bacterial small subunit ribosomal RNA", at positions 341 to 786 of the family's 1533-position model. The record is from RNAcentral.
UCGGGAGGCAGCAGUGGGGAAUAUUGCACAAUGGGCGAAAGCCUGAUGCAGCUAUGCCGCGUGUAUGAAGAAGGCCUUAGGGUUGUAAAGUACUUUCAUCGGGGAGGAAAAACAAAACUAAUAAUUUUAUUUCUUGACGUUACCCGAAAAAGAAGCACCGGCUAACUCCGUGCCAGCAGCCGCGGUAAUACGGAGGGUGCUAGCGUUAAUCAGAAUUACUGGGCGUAAAGAGCACGUAGGUGGUUUUUUUAAGUCAGAUGUGAAAUCCCUGGGCUUAACCUAGGAACUGCAUUUUGAAACUGAAAUACUAGAGUAUCGUAGAGGGAGGUAGAAUUCUAGGUGUAGCGGUGAAAUGCGUAGAUAUCUGGAGGAAUACCUGUGGCGAAAGCGGCCUCCUAAACGAAUACUGACACUGAGGUGCGAAAGCGUGGGGAGCAAACAGGGAUUAGAUACC